AUGGAGGGUGCAAGCGUUAUCCGGAUUCACUGGGUUUAAAGGGUGCGUAGGUGGGUUAGUAAGUCAGUGGUGAAAUCUUCGAGCUUAACUCGGAAACUGCCAUUGAUACUAUUAGUCUUGAAUAUUGUGGAGGUUAGCGGAAUAUGUCAUGUAGCGGUGAAAUGCUUAGAUAUGACAUAGAACACCAAUUGCGAAGGCAGCUGGCUACACAUAUAUUGACACUGAGGCACGAAAGCGUGGGGAUCAAACAG
Molecule: ribosomal RNA, 251 nt
Filed under: uncultured prokaryote
Description: partial 16S rRNA
Rfam family: Bacterial small subunit ribosomal RNA
Source: RNAcentral